RNAcentral lists this ribosomal RNA (497 nucleotides) under uncultured bacterium. RNAcentral's name for it is "partial 16S ribosomal RNA". It matches the Rfam family "Bacterial small subunit ribosomal RNA", at positions 28 to 507 of the family's 1533-position model. The record is from RNAcentral.
GAUGAACGCUGGCGGCGUGCCUAAUACAUGCAAGUCGAGCGAACAGACGAGGAGCUUGCUCCUCUGACGUUAGCGGCGGACGGGUGAGUAACACGUGGAUAACCUACCUAUAAGACUGGGAUAACUUCGGGAAACCGGAGCUAAUACCGGAUAAUAUAUUGAACCGCAUGGUUCAAUAGUGAAAGACGGUUGUGCUGUCACUUAUAGAUGGAUCCGCGCCGCAUUAGCUAGUUGGUAAGGUAACGGCUUACCAAGGCAACGAUGCGUAGCCGACCUGAGAGGGUGAUCGGCCACACUGGAACUGAGACACGGUCCAGACUCCUACGGGAGGCAGCAGUAGGGAAUCCUCCGCAAUGGGCGAAAGCUUGACGGAGCAACGCCGCGUGAGUGCUGAUGGUCUUCGGAUCGUAAAACUCUGUUAUUAGGGAAGAACAAAUGUGUAAGUACCUAUGCACGUCUUGACGGUACCUAAUCAGAAAGCCACGGCUAACUACGUG